RNAcentral lists this ribosomal RNA (483 nucleotides) under uncultured bacterium. RNAcentral describes it as "partial 16S ribosomal RNA". It matches the Rfam family "Bacterial small subunit ribosomal RNA", at positions 29 to 506 of the family's 1533-position model. The record is from RNAcentral.
AUUGAACGCUGGCGGAAUGCUUUACACAUGCAAGUCGAACGGCAGCACGGGGGCAACCCUGGUGGCGAGUGGCGAACGGGUGAGUAAUACAUCGGAACGUGCCCGGUCGUGGGGGAUAACGUAGCGAAAGUUACGCUAAUACCGCAUACGAUCUGAGGAUGAAAGCGGGGGACCUUCGGGCCUCGCGCGAUCGGAGCGGCCGAUGUCAGAUUAGGUAGUUGGUGGGGUAAAGGCCUACCAAGCCGACGAUCUGUAGCUGGUCUGAGAGGACGACCAGCCACCAGGGGCAGAGAACACGGCCCAGCCUCCUAGGGGGGGCAGCAGUGGGGAAUUUUGGCAAAGGGGGGAAAGCCUGAUCCAGCCUUUCCGGGUGCAGGACGAAGGCCUUCGGGUUGUAAACUGCUUUUGUAUGGAACGAAAAGGCUCUGGCUAAUACCUGGGGCUCAUGACGGUACCGUAAAAAUAAGCACCGGCUAACUACGU